AUGUACGACUCACACUCACUAGUAAUGUCCUCAACCCUGAUGAAUUAUCUUGCUGGGGUAUCAUCUCAGAUUUUUGGACAGAUCUCUUUAACAAACAGACCAGGGGAAAGGAGAAGGAUGACGGGUGUGCUCAUUCUAACGUUCUGUCUGCUGGGAGCAGCUUUGACUAGUUCAGUCCCUCAGUAUGAUGUCACGGAUGAGCUACCCCCACAGAGAGAGAUGUCUGAACAGGUCGUUCAGUAUGGUACCUUGGACCAGUUUCCCCUACAGAGAGAGAUGGUUCCUCAGGUGUCUCAGACAGACAUUCUGGAUCAGAUGAUCCCUCCACAACUCAACCCUCAGGUCACCGUACUACCACAGGUGCCAGGGAACCAGGUAGACCACACCCCCCCCUGGAACUCCUCCUCCUCACCUCAACAGGUCUCUGACCUACCACAGCUGCCAGGGAACCAGGUAGACCACACACCCCCCUGGAACUCCUCCUCCUCACCGCAACAGAUCUCUGACCUACCACAGCUGCCAGGGAACCAGGUAGACCACCCCCCCCCCCGCCCCCCUGGAACUCCUCCUCCUCACCUCAACAGGUCCCUGUACUACCACAGUUGCCAAGGGAACCAGUUAGACCACACCCCCCUGGAACUCCUGUGGAGUUAUUCAGUUAAGUUCAGGUUGUAAAUGUAUUCUGUUGAUCUGUCAUCCUCAGACCACGAGUUCCUCUGAGUCCCAGAGCUCUGACCAGAGCCACUCAUCAGAGGUGAGGGAGUGAGAGUGAGAGUGAGAGAGAGAGAGAGAGAGAGAGAGAGAGAGAGAGAGAUGAGAGAGAGAGAGAGAGAGAUAGAGAGAGAGAGAGAGAGAGAGAGAGACAGAGAGAGAGUAAGAGAGAAAGACAGAGACAGAGAGAGAGACAGAGAGACAGAGAGAGAGAGUAAGAGAGAAAGAGAGAGAGAGAGAACGUACAGACUCAGUGAGCAUAGCCUUGCUAUUGAGAAAGGCCACUGUAGGCAAGAGAAGACAGGCUAUGUGCUCACUGACCACAAAAUGAGGUGGAAACUGAGCUGCAAUUCUAACCUCCUGUCUAAUGUAUAACCAUAUUAGAGACACAUAUUUCCCUCAGAUUACACAGAUACACAAAGAAUUUGAAAACAAACCCAAUUUGGAUGAACUGAAAAACCACAGUGUGCCAUCACAGCAGCAAGAUGUGUGACCUGUUGCACAAGGGCAACCAGUGUAGAACAAACACUGUAAAUACUACCCAUAUUUAUCUGAUUAGUCAUCUUCACCCACUAUUUAUUCUACAACUAUUUACACAUUGUUAAAACACAGUACAUUGCUGAUAAUAUACAUUUUUAAUGAACCUUUAUGAGCACAAUGUUUACUGUAAAACAUUUAUAUUUGUUAGUCGUUUCUUUGGUUCAACUCACCUAUUUUUCUUGUUUAUUUCACUUGCUUUGACAAUGUAAACAUGUUUAACAUGCCAAUAAAAGCCCCUUUCAAAUGAAUUGUUAGAAAGGAGAGAGGAGAGAGAGAAAAAAAUUGAGGAGAAAGAGAGGAGAGAAAGAAGAGAGAAAGAAGAGAGAGGAGAGAGGAGAGUGAAAGAAGAGAGGAGAGCGAAAGAAGAGAGGAGAGAGAAAGAAGAGAGGAGAGAGAGAAAGAAGAGAUGAGAGAAAGAAGAGAGGAGAGAGAAAGAAGAGAGGAUGAGACAAAGAAAGAAGAGAGAGAAGAGAGAGAAAUAAGAGAGGGGAUAGAGAAAUAAGAGAGGGGAUAGAGAAGAGAGGAGAGAGGAGAGAGAAAGAAGAGGAGAGAGAAAAAGAAGAGAGAGGAGAGAGAAAGAAGAGAGAGGAGAGAGAAAGAAGAGAGAAAGAAGAGAGAGGAGAGAGAAGAGAGGAGAGAGGAGAGAGAAAGAAGAGAGAGGAGAGAAAGAAGAGAGAAUAGAGAAAGAAGAGAGAGAAGAGAGAAAGAAGAGAGAGGAGAGAGAAAGAAGAGAGGAGAGAUAAAGAAGAGAGGAGAGAGAGGAGAGAGAAAGGAGAGAUAGGAGAGAGAAGAGAGAAAGAAGAGAUGAGAGAGAAAGAAGAGAAGAGAGAGAGAAAGAAGAGAGAGGAGAGAGAAAGAAGAGAGAGGAGAGAGAAAGAAGAGAGAGGAGAGAGAAGAGAGAGAAGAGAGAAAGAAGAGAAAGAAGAGAGGAGAGAAAGAGAGAGGAGAGAGAAAGAAGAGAGGACAGAGAGAAAGAAGAGAGGAGAGAGAAAAAGAGGAGAGAGAAAAAGAGGAGAGAAGAGAAAGAAAGAGAGAAGAGGGGGAGGAAGAAGAGAGAGGAGAGAAAGAAGAGAGAAAUAGAGAAGAGAGAAAUAAAGAAGAGAGAAAUAGAGAAGAGAGAGGAAAAGAGAGAAGAAAGGAGAGUGUGUGUUGUGUGUCUGUGAAUAUAUAUAUAUAUAGUGUUGUCUGUCUGUGUGUGUAUAUAUAUAUAUAUAUAUAUAUAUAUAUAUAUAUAUAGUGUUGUGUGUCUGUGUGUAUAUAUAUAUAUAGUGUUGUGUCUGUGUGUAUAUAUAUAUGUAUAUAUAGUGUUGUGUCUGUGUGUAUAUAUAUAUAUAUAUAGUGUUGUGUGUCUGUGUGUAUAUAUAUAGUGUUGUGUCUGUGUGUAUAUAUAGUGUUGUGUCUGUGUGUGUAUAUAUAUAUAUAUAUAUAUAUAGUGUUGUUUGUCUGUGUGUAUAUAUAUAUAUAG
Molecule: long non-coding RNA, 2716 nt
Organism: Oncorhynchus mykiss (rainbow trout)
Lineage: Eukaryota; Metazoa; Chordata; Actinopteri; Salmoniformes; Salmonidae
Source: Ensembl